RNAcentral lists this ribosomal RNA (587 nucleotides) under Thermomyces lanuginosus. RNAcentral describes it as "eukaryotic LSU rRNA". The stretch from base 222 to 375 matches the Rfam family "5.8S ribosomal RNA". The record is from RNAcentral. Lineage: Eukaryota; Fungi; Ascomycota; Eurotiomycetes; Eurotiales; Trichocomaceae.
GAAGGAUCAUUACCGAGUGCGGGAACCCAGUCGGGUCCCAAUCUCCCACCCGUGUCUACCACACCUAGUGUUGCUUUGGCGGGCCCACUCCUCCGGUGUUCCGCCGGGGGGGUCGUCCCGGGGCGCGGUGUGCCCCCGGGGCCCGUGCCCGCCAGAGGCACUCACUGUGAACGCUUUUGUGAAUGCGAGGAUUGUCUGAGUGACGAAAUGCAAUCGUUCAAAACUUUCAACAAUGGAUCUCUUGGUUCCGGCAUCGAUGAAGAGCGCAGCGAAAUGCGAUAAGUAAUGUGAAUUGCAGAAUUCCGUGAAUCAUCGAAUCUUUGAACGCACAUUGCGCCCUCUGGUAUUCCGGGGGGCAUGCCUGUCCGAGCGUCAUUGCGAACCCUCAAGCACGGCUUGUGUGUUGGGCCGCCGUCCCCUCGUUUGGAGGGGACGGGCCUGAAAGGCAGCGGCGGCGUCGCGUCCGGUCCUCGAGCGUAUGGGGCUCUGUCACGCGCUCAAGGAGGGGUCCGGCCGGGGCCAUAGCCUCUGAAGGUCAAUUCUUCCAAGGUUGACCUCGGAUCAGGUAGGAGUACCCGCUGAACUUA